CUUAGCCAGGGAGGCUUCCCGGGCCAGGAUCCGGUACACAUUGGCGUCUGAGCCCACCAAAACCCCCACCCAAACAAAUGUGCCCCCCCGACCAUUACAUCACCUGUUUUCCCGCUGUUUUACAGGUUGGCUGAGGAUGAUGGGUGUCGUUUGGGACGUCUGUCGCAGCUCCGCUUUCUGUGCUUCGCUGGGGACAUGGCUGGCUUCUGGGGAGGAGAGUCGACUGUGCUCUCCCCCUGGAACUGCUCGG
This is a non-coding RNA of Pelobates cultripes (western spadefoot toad), 250 nucleotides long. The record is from the annotation of a GenBank genome assembly. NCBI's taxonomy places the organism in Eukaryota, Metazoa, Chordata, Amphibia, Anura, Pelobatidae.